RNAcentral lists this ribosomal RNA (497 nucleotides) under uncultured bacterium. RNAcentral describes it as "partial 16S ribosomal RNA". It matches the Rfam family "Bacterial small subunit ribosomal RNA", at positions 899 to 1397 of the family's 1533-position model. The record is from RNAcentral.
ACUCAAAUGAAUAGACGGGUCCCCGCACAAGCGGCGGAGCAUGCGGCUUAAUUCGAUGCAACCCGAAGAACCUUACCUGGGUUUGACAUUAUGGGAAAAGCAGUAGAGAUACUGUGUCCGCAAGGGCCCAUAACAGGUGGUGCAUGGCUGUCGUCAGCUCGUGUCGUGAGAUGUUGGGUUAAGUCCCGCAACGAGCGCAACCCUUGUUCUAUGUUACCAGCGGGUUAAGCCGGGGACUCAUAGAAGACUGCCGGGGAUAACUCGGAGGAAGGUGGGGACGAGGUCAAGUCAUCAUGCCCCUUAUGCCCAGGGCUGCACGCAUGCUACAAUGGUCGGUACAACGGGCUGCGAUCCUGCGAAGGUGAGCGAAUCCCUAAAAGCCGGCCUCAGUUCAGAUUGGAGUCUGCAACUCGACUCCAUGAAGUCGGAGUCGCUAGUAAUCGCGGAUCAGCAAAGCCGCGGUGAAUGCGUUCUCGGGGAUUGUACACACCGCCCGU